GACGGAGGAUGCAAGCGUUAUCCGGAAUGAUUGGGCGUAAAGCGUCCGCAGGUGGCACUUCCAGUCUGCUGUCAAAGACCGGGGCUUAACUUCGGAAAGGCAGUGGAAACAGAAGAGCUAGAGUAUGGUAGGGGUAGAGGGAAUUCCCAGUGUAGCGGUGAAAUGCGUAGAGAUUGGGAAGAACACCGGUGGCGAAAGCGCUCUACUGGACCAAAACUGACACUCAGGGACGAAAGCUAGGGGAGCGAAUGGG
This 253-nucleotide ribosomal RNA is filed under the name uncultured bacterium. RNAcentral describes it as "partial 16S ribosomal RNA". It matches the Rfam family "Bacterial small subunit ribosomal RNA", at positions 524 to 776 of the family's 1533-position model. The record is from RNAcentral.